RNAcentral lists this ribosomal RNA (641 nucleotides) under Streptomyces sp. I13A-01610. RNAcentral's name for it is "bacterial SSU rRNA". It matches the Rfam family "Bacterial small subunit ribosomal RNA", at positions 100 to 755 of the family's 1533-position model. The record is from RNAcentral. Lineage: Bacteria; Bacillati; Actinomycetota; Actinomycetes; Kitasatosporales; Streptomycetaceae.
GAACGGGUGAGUAACACGUGGGCAAUCUGCCCUGCACUCUGGGACAAGCCCUGGAAACGGGGUCUAAUACCGGAUAACACUGUCCCCCUCCUGGGGGACGGUUGAAAGCUCCGGCGGUGCAGGAUGAGCCCGCGGCCUAUCAGCUUGUUGGUGGGGUAAUGGCCUACCAAGGCGACGACGGGUAGCCGGCCUGAGAGGGCGACCGGCCACACUGGGACUGAGACACGGCCCAGACUCCUACGGGAGGCAGCAGUGGGGAAUAUUGCACAAUGGGCGAAAGCCUGAUGCAGCGACGCCGCGUGAGGGAUGACGGCCUUCGGGUUGUAAACCUCUUUCAGCAGGGAAGAAGCGAAAGUGACGGUACCUGCAGAAGAAGCGCCGGCUAACUACGUGCCAGCAGCCGCGGUAAUACGUAGGGCGCAAGCGUUGUCCGGAAUUAUUGGGCGUAAAGAGCUCGUAGGCGGUCUGUCACGUCGGGUGUGAAAGCCCGGGGCUUAACCCCGGGUCUGCAUUCGAUACGGGCAGACUAGAGUGUGGUAGGGGAGAUCGGAAUUCCUGGUGUAGCGGUGAAAUGCGCAGAUAUCAGGAGGAACACCGGUGGCGAAGGCGGAUCUCUGGGCCAUUACUGACGCUGAGGAGCG